This 252-nucleotide ribosomal RNA is filed under the name uncultured bacterium. RNAcentral describes it as "partial 16S ribosomal RNA". It matches the Rfam family "Bacterial small subunit ribosomal RNA", at positions 100 to 353 of the family's 1533-position model. The record is from RNAcentral.
GGACGGGUGAGUAAUGUCUGGGAAACUGCCUGAUGGAGGGGGAUAACUACUGGAAACGGUAGCUAAUACCGCAUAACGUCGCAAGACCAAAGAGGGGGACCUUCGGGCCUCUUGCCAUCAGAUGUGCCCAGAUGGGAUGAGCUAGUAGGUGGGGUAACGGCUCACCUAGGCGACGAUCCCUAGCUGGUCUGAGAGGAUGACCAGCCACACUGGAACUGAGACACGGUCCAAACUCCUACGGGAGGCAGCAUG